UACGUAUGGGGCAAGCGUUAUCCGGAUUUACUGGGUGUAAAGGGAGCGUAGGCGGCAGGGCAAGCCUGAUGUGAAAGCCCGGGGCUCAACCCCGGGACUGCAUUGGGAACUGCCCUGCUGGAGUGCCGGAGGGGCAGGCGGAAUUCCUAGUGUAGCGGUGAAAUGCGUAGAUAUUAGGAGGAACACCAGUGGCGAAGGCGGCCUGCUGGACGGUGACUGACGCUGAGGCUCGUAAGCGUGGGGAGCAAACAGG
RNAcentral lists this ribosomal RNA (253 nucleotides) under uncultured bacterium. RNAcentral describes it as "partial 16S ribosomal RNA". It matches the Rfam family "Bacterial small subunit ribosomal RNA", at positions 524 to 776 of the family's 1533-position model. The record is from RNAcentral.